RNAcentral lists this ribosomal RNA (253 nucleotides) under uncultured bacterium. RNAcentral describes it as "partial 16S ribosomal RNA". It matches the Rfam family "Bacterial small subunit ribosomal RNA", at positions 524 to 776 of the family's 1533-position model. The record is from RNAcentral.
UACGUAGGUGGCAAGCGUUAUCCGGAAUUAUUGGGCGUAAAGAGCGCGCAGGUGGUUAAUUAAGUCUAAUGUGAAAGCCCACGGCUUAACCGUGGAGGGUCAUUGGAAACUGGUUGACUUGAGUGCAGAAGAGGGAAGUGGAAUUCCAUGUGUAGCGGUGAAAUGCGUAGAGAUAUGGAGGAACACCAGUGGCGAAGGCGGCUUCCUGGUCUGCAACUGACACUGAGGCGCGAAAGCGUGGGGAGCAAACAGG